AUGUUUCUUUUUCUAUGCCGCUUUGCCACUCAAAAUUGGAGGAACUUAGUACAGAAGAGCUGCUUGAGCUUUCAGAGAUUGAGAAACAAAAUCUGGGCCAGGUAAAUUUGUCAUGUAGUUGAGACUCACGUGGAAAAAUAAAUCCAGGAGAGAAAUUUGCUUACAAAUCUUUGUAUUAAUGAUGUCAGAUUCUUUGACUGACUUGUCAAUGACUAGUCUGAUGCUUGAUUCCACGGCUUGUCUCCGUAUGACCUAUAGGUCAUACGGAGACAACUUGACCGAGGCUUCCCUUCAAUUGUCCAAAGUAUUGAGUAUUUGUUUCAUGUUAUGUCUGAGUUUCCUU
This 343-nucleotide long non-coding RNA is filed under the name Nicotiana tabacum (common tobacco). RNAcentral describes it as "long non-coding RNA (NTAB_LNC002139)". The record is from RNAcentral. Lineage: Eukaryota; Viridiplantae; Streptophyta; Magnoliopsida; Solanales; Solanaceae.